CCUACGGGAGGCAGCAGUGAGGAAUAUUGGUCAAUGGUCGGGAGACUGAACCAGCCAAGCCGCGUGAGGGAGGAAGGUACAGAGUAUCGUAAACCUCUUUUGUCAGGGAACAAAGACUGGGACGCGUCCCCGGAUGAGUGUACCUGAAGAAAAAGCAUCGGCUAACUACGUGCCAGCAGCCGCGGUAAUACGUAGGGAGCAAGCGUUGUCCGGAUUUACUGGGUGUAAAGGGUGCGUAGGCGGCUUUGCAAGUCAGAAGUGAAAUCCAUGGGCUUAACCCAUGAACUGCUUUUGAAACUGCAGAGCUUGAGUGGAGUAGAGGUAGGCGGAAUUCCCGGUGUAGCGGUGAAAUGCGUAGAGAUCGGGAGGAACACCAGUGGCGAAGGCGGCCUACUGGGCUCUAACUGACGCUGAGGCACGAAAGCGUGGGUAGCAAACAGGAUUAGAUACCCUUGUAGUC
Molecule: ribosomal RNA, 460 nt
Filed under: uncultured bacterium
Lineage: Bacteria
Description: partial 16S ribosomal RNA
Rfam family: Bacterial small subunit ribosomal RNA
Source: RNAcentral